RNAcentral lists this transfer RNA (85 nucleotides) under Felis catus (domestic cat). It matches the Rfam family "tRNA". From Rfam's summary of the family: Transfer RNA (tRNA) molecules are approximately 80 nucleotides in length. Their secondary structure includes four short double-helical elements and three loops (D, anti-codon, and T loops). Further hydrogen bonds mediate the characteristic L-shaped molecular structure. tRNAs have two regions of fundamental functional importance: the anti-codon, which is responsible for specific mRNA codon recognition, and the 3' end, to which the tRNAs corresponding amino acid is attached (by aminoacyl-tRNA synthetases). tRNAs cope with the degeneracy of the genetic code in two manners: having more than one tRNA (with a specific anti-codon) for a particular amino acid; and 'wobble' base-pairing, i.e. permitting non-standard base-pairing at the 3rd anti-codon position. Lineage: Eukaryota; Metazoa; Chordata; Mammalia; Carnivora; Felidae. The record is from Rfam by way of RNAcentral.
GCCUGGGUGGCUCAGUCGGUUAAGCGUCCGACUUCGGCUCAGGUCAUGAUCUCGCGGUCUGUGGGUUCGAGCCCCACAUCGGGCU